AACGAUGUGGGAAGGCCCAGACAGCCAGGAUGUUGGCUUAGAAGCAGCCAUCAUUUAAAGAAAGCGUAAUAGCUCACUGGUCGAGUCGGCCUGCGCGGAAGAUGUAACGGGGCUAAACCAUGCACCGAAGCUGCGGCAGCGACGCUGAUGCGUUGUUGGGUAGGGGAGCGUUCUGUAAGCCUGUGAAGGUGUACUGUGAGGUAUGCUGGAGGUAUCAGAAGUGCGAAUGCUGACAUAAGUAACGAUAAAGCGGGUGAAAAGCCCGCUCGCCGGAAGACCAAGGGUUCCUGUCC
RNAcentral lists this ribosomal RNA (293 nucleotides) under Escherichia coli. Its description in RNAcentral is "partial 23S ribosomal RNA". It matches the Rfam family "Bacterial large subunit ribosomal RNA", at positions 1069 to 1360 of the family's 2925-position model. The record is from RNAcentral. Lineage: Bacteria; Pseudomonadati; Pseudomonadota; Gammaproteobacteria; Enterobacterales; Enterobacteriaceae.